AGAACGAACGCUGGCGGCGUGCCUAACACAUGCAAGUCCAACGUGAAAGGGGAGCAAUCCCCCGGUAGGGUGGCAAACGGGUGAGUAAUACAUGGGUGAUCUACCUUUAGGGAUGGGGAUAUCCUUCCGAAAGGAGGGGCAAUACCGAAUAUGUCCGGAGCCGUGAAGGGUUCCGGGGAAAGGGAGGCCUCUGAUACAAGCUUUCGCCUUAAGAUGAGCCAUGGCCCAUCAGCUAGUUGGUAGGGUAAAGGCCGUACCAAGGCUACGACGGGUCGCUGGUCUGAGAGGACGACAGCCAACACUGGCACUGAGAUACGGGCCAGACUCUACGGGAGGCAGC
Molecule: ribosomal RNA, 340 nt
Filed under: uncultured prokaryote
Description: bacterial SSU rRNA
Rfam family: Bacterial small subunit ribosomal RNA
Source: RNAcentral